RNA transcript from Syzygium oleosum, 2137 nucleotides. It is a transcript of the gene named urease accessory protein F, with no coding region annotated. The record is from RefSeq and is a predicted model, not a curated record. Lineage: Eukaryota; Viridiplantae; Streptophyta; Magnoliopsida; Myrtales; Myrtaceae. The transcript is spliced from 4 exons.
CUGCAUGAAAGUAAUGGCCUAAAUAUUCAAUAGGCCUUGUGGUCCAGUUCUCUCCAAAAACUCGCACGUUCUCUGCCCCUACUCCAAGUGGGUGCGACUCGGCGACCAUCGAGGCAGCUCUCCCUUGACCCUUCUGGGUCUCGGUCCGAAUCAGCCGGUUGAGCUGAGUCCGCUUCGCAUGCGUUUUGAGAGAUCGGCAAGCGCGACUACAUCCUGAAUGACGACGAUGGAGAUUGAUAUGGAAAGGAACAAUAAUCGGAAACGAUCCGCUUCUACCAACUUGCCCCAACAGUGGAGCCAGUGGCAGCUGCUUGAUUCCAUCCUUCCGACAGGGGGAUUUGCGCAUUCGCUUGGUCUAGAGGCGGCAAUACAAACCCGCGUGAUCAGUGGGCCUGAAGAUCUUCAUACCUUUGUAGUACAUGUGUUGGAGAACACUGGCAGUUUACUUCUUCCUUUUGUCUACACUGCAAGCAAAGAGCCAAGUGCAGAUACAUUGUGUAAGCUUGACAGAAUGCUUGAUGCGAUGCUAACUAAUGAAGUGGGCCGAAAAGCAUCUGUAGCUCAAGGUUCAGCACUUAUGAGGGUGGCUGCAUCUGUGUUUUCUGAAAUCCCAUUGCUUAAAAUGAUGAGAGAGAACUUUUUGAGUUCGGGAGUCGUUUCUUUUCACCAUGCUCCAAUCUUCGGGCUUGUAUGUGGACUUCUUGGGCUCGAGAGUGAGACAUGUCAGAGAGCCUUCAUGUUCAUUACUUUGAGAGAUAUUAUUUCUGCUGCAACUAGGCUGAACGUAAUUGGGCCGCUGGGAGCUGCUGUGUUGCAGCACCAGAUCGCUCAUGCUGCCGAAGCUAUUACAGAGAAAUGGAGUAACCGUGGUGUUGAAGAAGCAUGCCAAACAGUUCCUUUGCUUGACACUGUGCAGGGAUGCCAUGGCUACUUGUUUUCGAGGCUGUUCUGCUCCUAAUGACCAUUCGUCCAAGUCCAUAAUGAUCAAUUCCUUUUUUAUGCUCACCUGCUGAUAUUGGAUGUUGAAUUAGAAAUGCUUGCAUCUUCUUCAGCCAGGAGGAUCCUUGCUCAUGUUUGAUGUCAAAGUUGGCAGUGUGACAAUUUCUACGUCAUCUGAUAUGGUUUUACAUUGAAGAUACUGCAUCAGAGACCCAAUGUCCAAAAAGAACUUCCCCAAUCGAAGAUUUCCCGAUUGCUCUGUAUUCUCCUGUUCGGCGAGGUCGCUAUCGUUGUCAAAGGAAUUCUUAACAGAAAUCUUGUCUUCCCCGCUUGGAAAGUUUUCAGUGGCAGUGAUAACUGGUGACUGUCAAGGGGUGAGUGCUCCAUUUUUUGGUACUGGACUUGCAGUACUCGUUUUCUCUUGUGCAAUUCGCAAGUUACCAUUUCGUUGCCUGUCUCGGCAGGCCAUCGUCGCUCUCUAUGUUAACUUGGUUGCCAAGGCAUUGGAUGGCGAUCAUUGACAUUUGUUUCUGGCAUCAUGUGCAUUCGGGAGUGACCUCUGCGCGCCCAUGGGAGACAAUCCCGUUUGCCAUUUGCCUUGGAAUUUGAAAAGUUUGACACGGUCGAGUUGGGUCUGACAUGCCAUGCCUUUUCCUAUACUCUGUGGCUUGAUCGAACCAAGCCUCCGCAAUUUCAAAAUCUCCCUGUCGAACGGCCUGUUCUCCCCCGUCGGAGUAGGUGGGUCAAUUUCGCCCUGUUUCUUUGUCAGCUCACAUGGAAUGGGUAGCCUUGAAAUUUGUGUUUGGGCUAGGAUGAAGCUGCAAUGAGAAAUACCCAAAGAGAAUUUAUGAAGGUCCGCCGUGUUAAUUACUCCAUGAAUGAAUUUUCCAAGCCCGAUGAAACGCCUAUGACAAGUCGAAGUUGACGAGAUUUGCGUGGAUCUCACUUGAUCUAAUGGCCGUGAUCGACUAUGAUUGUCUCCUAUUUGUAGACCCGACAUAGGCUGUUAGCUCCCUUGAUUCAUAAUAAGAGGCGUGAUGGUAACACGAGAUAUUACUAUGAAAAAUAAAAGACCACUAUGAGGUAAAUAGUAUCUGCCCCCCUUAGGCAUUAGCCAAUAAUUACACAUUUACUAAGUCGAGAGUCCACAUUCGUAGGUUGGUUGACGUGUAAUAAAUUUAAACUUGUUUUUCUCUAA